UAUAAAACAAAUAAUGAAUGUUUUUAUUCGUGCAUUAAUGGUAAGAAUAUUUUCAUUCGGUGAAAGAUGGAAUGUUCCAUUCAACUCGGCUGUCGCCUCGUUGAAUGGAACAUUCCAUCUUUCACCUCAUGCCAGUGAAAAUAUUCUUACCAUUGCACGAAUAAAAACAUUCAUUAUUUGUAUACUA
This 187-nucleotide microRNA precursor is filed under the name Paramuricea clavata. Lineage: Eukaryota; Metazoa; Cnidaria; Anthozoa; Malacalcyonacea; Plexauridae. The record is from RNAcentral.